GGCUACGGCCAUGUCACCCCGAACAAGCCAGAUCCCAUCUGAUCUCAGAUGCUAAGCAGGGUCGGGCCUGGUUAGUACUUAGAUGGGAGACCACCUAGGAAGACCAGGUGCUGUAGGUG
Molecule: ribosomal RNA, 119 nt
Filed under: Pteropus alecto (black flying fox)
Lineage: Eukaryota; Metazoa; Chordata; Mammalia; Chiroptera; Pteropodidae
Source: RNAcentral